Molecule: long non-coding RNA, 819 nt
Organism: Monodelphis domestica (gray short-tailed opossum)
Lineage: Eukaryota; Metazoa; Chordata; Mammalia; Didelphimorphia; Didelphidae
Source: RefSeq, a predicted model, not a curated record
ACUGAGGAGGGAGGGGGUGGGGUAAGUGUGUAUGUGUGUGUGCGUGUGCGUGUGCGUGUGGGGGGAGCGUGCGCGCGCGCCUGUGGGGGAUCCCUUAGUCGUCUCCGCGGACCCCGCCCCUAGUGCAGCCCAAGUCUAUUCCGGGAGUGGAUUUCCCUUCUCCAAAUGGAGUGGCGGCACUGCGGCUUCCACUGGAGGGGAGUGGGAGAUGGAGGUGGGAACGACCUUGCGGUUGGAGUUUAUCUCUGCAAGAAAUUCUGCAAUCAAAUGCGGGUACCUCGUGGUUAUCCACAGUUGGGGCUGAACACCCGCACUCGCUGGUCACUUUCAUCUUUCAAGAGCAAAGGACUCACCUGGGUCUGGUGAAAGGAAGCUGCAGUAUUAGAUCGCCCUUUGUUAUCCACACCCUUAAUCUCAAGUAAAUCGGUAGUGACCUGGUCUGGCAGAAGCCCAAACCAACUAAUCUCCAGGGAAUCAUCACCACUCUAGCUUUUCAGGAUUAGUUUUUCAUUUCGGAACUUUAUCAUUUAACUCACUAACUCGUAUCCUGCAGCAAUGAUCCACUGAUACUAGACUAAAUUCUGCUCUUACACAAAGCAAUCGAUAUAGAGUAGUUUGCAAAUGAAUCCAGUGUGCAUGCAAAGGCAUGAUACUGAUAUAUUGCAAUAAAACAGUUAUUCCCUCACCUUCUCAGAACCCGAUAACAUUUUCUCUAUCUCCCUUCUGACCCUCAUUAUAUUUCCACCUUGUAUCAUAAUUUAGUGCAGGUGGGGAAUGGGGGAGAGGGUUCUCUCCCAAGUAAACCUGAAAAUUAUUCAA